This 433-nucleotide ribosomal RNA is filed under the name uncultured bacterium. Its description in RNAcentral is "partial 16S ribosomal RNA". It matches the Rfam family "Bacterial small subunit ribosomal RNA", at positions 29 to 507 of the family's 1533-position model. The record is from RNAcentral.
AACGAACGCUGGCGGCAUGCCUAACACAUGCAAGUCGAACGAGACCUUCGGGUCUAGUGGCGCACGGGUGCGUAACGCGUGGGAACCUGCCCUUAGGUUCGGAAUAACUUCCCGAAAGGGGUGCUAAUACCGGAUAAUGUCUUCGGACCAAAGAUUUAUCGCCUUUGGAUGGGCCCGCGUUGGAUUAGCUAGUUGGUAGGGUAAAAGCCUACCAAGGCGACGAUCCAUAGCUGGUCUGAGAGGAUGAUCAGCCACACUGGGACUGAGACACGGCCCAGACUCCUACGGGAGGCAGCAGUGGUGAAUAUUGGACAAUGGGCGAAAGCCUGAGCCAGCAAUGCCGCGUGAGUGAUGAAGGCCUUAGGGUUGUAAAGCUCUUUUACCCGGGAUGAUAAUGACAGUACCGUGAGAAUAAGCUCCGGCUAACUCCGUG